CCAAAGGCUCUUUUAAGAGCCAACCACUUCUACCUAAAAAGAGCUGU
Regulatory RNA element from Alligator mississippiensis (American alligator), 47 nucleotides. It matches the Rfam family "Histone 3' UTR stem-loop". Rfam says of the family: The mRNAs of metazoan histone genes lack a poly-A tail. Lineage: Eukaryota; Metazoa; Chordata; Crocodylia; Alligatoridae. The record is from Rfam.